UAGAUCUCGUAAUCGAGAAUCGCCAUUGCAAUAGGCAACGAUAUGUAGAUUAACUUGGGUAUGACAACCGGAGAGAAGGUUUAUUUGUAAUCAAUACAUUAUUUCUAAGUAUAACAUUUUGCUACAAGUUGGCCUUAUAAGUUUCCACUUUUCCAUGUACAUUCCUUUUCCUCUUAUAGAUCCACUUACACCCUAUGGGUUUUAUCCCUUUCGAUAAGUGUUGGAUCUCGA
Molecule: long non-coding RNA, 231 nt
Filed under: Gossypium barbadense (sea-island cotton)
Lineage: Eukaryota; Viridiplantae; Streptophyta; Magnoliopsida; Malvales; Malvaceae
Description: long non-coding RNA (GBAR_LNC022423)
Source: RNAcentral